RNAcentral lists this ribosomal RNA (105 nucleotides) under Thalassospira sp. The record is from RNAcentral. Lineage: Bacteria; Pseudomonadati; Pseudomonadota; Alphaproteobacteria; Rhodospirillales; Thalassospiraceae.
AUAGCGGCCGGGAACCACCUGAUCCCAUCCCGAACUCAGAAGUGAAACCAGCCUGCGCCGAUGGUACUUUGUCUUAAGGCACGGGAGAGUAGGUCACCGCCGGGC